CCUGGUUUAUGCCUACUAUUGUGUUCCCCGCUUCAAUAGGAAGUUCCAACAUCAGUUUCAUGAUUCAUCCAUUAUUAAACAAGCUGAAAAUCUAAAACGUAAAAUUUCUGAUUAAAGCUUACUUUUUUCGUCCCACGCUCAACAAUAGCAUGAUCCAAUAUUAGUUUCACUAUUCUUAAAUUAUUCAACAACUUGAAAUUUUCAAAUAUUCAAUGUAAAAUAUGUAAACUGACUUUUUUCG
RNAcentral lists this long non-coding RNA (241 nucleotides) under Mytilus galloprovincialis (Mediterranean mussel). The record is from RNAcentral. Lineage: Eukaryota; Metazoa; Mollusca; Bivalvia; Mytilida; Mytilidae.